UAUGUAUCUUGCUUUACAUUUUCAUCAAACUAUUUUAAGAUGGAAACUUUCCAGACCAAAGAGAAGAAGACCUCAGGCCCUCUUUUGAAACAAAAUCAGAAAUAGCCACUGAGAAUGAUGAAUCAUUCAAGGCUAUGUUAAUAACAGAACCUCAACUAAACAAUGGAAAGCUUCAUCAGUGGGC
Gorilla gorilla gorilla (western lowland gorilla) is the source of this 184-nucleotide long non-coding RNA. RefSeq lists it as uncharacterized. The record is from RefSeq and is a predicted model, not a curated record. The transcript has 3 exons. NCBI's taxonomy places the organism in Eukaryota, Metazoa, Chordata, Mammalia, Primates, Hominidae.